CCCAUGUAGGUCCUUCGAUGCCCUGCACCUGCCCGGAAUCGAACACGCAGCGGCCGGAAACAUAGUUGCUCGGGCCCCGCACAGCCGCCCUCUUCCCUAUCAAUUCUGCCGCCUCCGCAAAGCUCCCCUGCCUCUGGCCGCUGCGGCGAGCAGUCACGGGCCUGGCUCGAGCUCCCCAUCGCAGCCACAAGCCCGCAACCUCCACCACCUCCUCCCCAUCCUUCUAGUACACUCCGUCAUAUAUGUUCCACCAGCGUCCAGCCCAACUCCGGUCAUAGUUGAGCGUGGUGCACAGCAAUUGUUCGACGAAAUUCCUCCAAGGUUUCGAGAGGUGCUGAUCCUUGAUUGUAUGGAUCAAGAGAAGAGCCGGAGAGGCGAGCGGUGAAGCAAUCAAGCAGAGGGAAGGAGCAGGUUUGAGGAAGAGUUGGCUGGAGAAGGCUAAUGCCUUUAUUUAGAGCAUCUGCAUCCAGGAAGUGUAUUUAACCAUCUAGGGCAGCUCAACUUAUCGAUACGUACAAAAGCAUCCAGGGACCAGGAACCUGCGUCGACUAGCUAUAGAGUUUUCUUGCAAAUGAAUAAACAAACAAUGCCACCCAACGAUCAACGACCUUUGAUUUGAGUGAAUUUUAUUGUUAAUGGAACAACUCGGUUGAGAGGUUCGUUGAA
Long non-coding RNA from Aegilops tauschii subsp. strangulata, 666 nucleotides. RefSeq lists it as uncharacterized. Lineage: Eukaryota; Viridiplantae; Streptophyta; Magnoliopsida; Poales; Poaceae. The record is from RefSeq and is a predicted model, not a curated record.